GAUGAAGAACGCAGCGAAAUGCGAUAAGUAAUGUGAAUUGCAGAAUUCAGUGAAUCAUCGAAUCUUUGAACGCACAUUGCGCCCGCCAGUAUUCUGGCGGGCAUGCCUGUCUGAGCGUCAUUUCAACCCUCAUGCCCCUAGGGCGUGGUGUUGGGGAUCGGCCAAAGCCCGCGAGGGACGGCCGGCCCCUAAAUCUAGUGGCGGACCCGUCGUGGCCUCCUCUGCGAAGUAGUGAUAUUCCGCAUCGGAGAGCGACGAGCCCCUGCCGUUAAACCCCCAACUUUCCAAGGUUGACCUCAGCUCAGGUAGGAAUACCCGCUGAACUUAAGCAUAUCAAUAAGCGGAGGA
Molecule: unclassified non-coding RNA, 348 nt
Filed under: soil metagenome
Description: partial contains 5.8S ribosomal RNA, internal transcribed spacer 2, and large subunit ribosomal RNA
Rfam family: 5.8S ribosomal RNA (bases 1-120)
Source: RNAcentral